This 253-nucleotide ribosomal RNA is filed under the name uncultured bacterium. RNAcentral's name for it is "partial 16S ribosomal RNA". It matches the Rfam family "Bacterial small subunit ribosomal RNA", at positions 524 to 776 of the family's 1533-position model. The record is from RNAcentral.
UACGGAGGGUGCUAGCGUUGUUCGGAAUUACUGGGCGUAAAGAGCGCGCAGGCGGUCGAUCAAGUCGAGUGUGAAAGCCCCCGGCUCAACUGGGGAGGGUCAUUCGAUACUGAUCGACUCGAAGGCAGGAGAGGGUAGUGGAAUUCCCGGUGUAGUGGUGAAAUGCGUAGAUAUCGGGAGGAACACCAGUGGCGAAGGCGACUACCUGGCCUGUUCUUGACGCUGAGGCGCGAAAGCUAGGGGAGCAAACGGG